Molecule: long non-coding RNA, 533 nt
Organism: Juglans microcarpa x Juglans regia
Lineage: Eukaryota; Viridiplantae; Streptophyta; Magnoliopsida; Fagales; Juglandaceae
Exons: 2
Source: RefSeq, a predicted model, not a curated record
GUAUUCUCCCGUUUUCCACCGCCUCCUCGAAUUCCUUUUUUUCAUCUUAUCAGAUUCUAGAUUUUUUACCCCCCUUGCCACGAUUUUGCUCUUAUCGGAUUCUAAUAUUUUUUAAGAUUUCUUCACUGCUUCCACCGCUUGCUCCUUUGUACAAGAACUAUCUUCAUUUUUUUUAUUUUCUCCUGUUUUGCUUGUUUAUUAGAAUCUGAUUUUGUUUUUUGUCUUCUCUAUCGCUUCGACCGCUUGCCACUUCGUAUAAGAGUAAAUUUCAUCUUCUUUAUUUUCCAUUGUUUGCUAUCUGAUAAAAUUAAGAGCUCCUGUUUAAACGUUCCCAAAUCUGUUCCUCUGACUCUGGAUUCUAAAUUUGCCUCUCAGCUCUCCAAUUUCACAGAUGGUCGUCGAUGUUCUGCGCACCAAACCUUUUUGUCAACGACCCAGAGGAGUGGCUUACUGUUGUAUUUUUCUAAUUUUCUUUUUGUUAAGAACCAAGAAAGAAAAUUCGUGGCUUAAAACAGAUCACUUUUAAAAUAAAA